Molecule: non-coding RNA, 27 nt
Filed under: Rattus norvegicus (Norway rat)
Lineage: Eukaryota; Metazoa; Chordata; Mammalia; Rodentia; Muridae
Source: RNAcentral
UAGCUAAGGUGUUGUGUGUGGAAGAGC